CCUACGGGCGGCAGCAGUGGGGAAUAUUGCACAAUGGGGGAAACCCUGAUGCAGCAACGCCGCGUGAGUGAUGAAGGCUUUCGGGUUGUAAAGCUCUGUCAUCAGGGAAGAUAAUGACGGUACCUUAGGAGUAAGCCUCGGCUAACUACGUGCCAGCAGCCGCGGUAAUACGUAGGUGGCGAGCGUUGUCCGGAUUGACUGGGCGUAAAGGGAGCGUAGGCGGACUGUUAAGUGAGAAGUGAAAUACUAAGGCUCAACUUGGGAACUGCAUUUAAAACUGGUGGUCUUGAGUGCAGGAGAGGAAAAUGGAAUUCCUAGUGUAGCGGUGGAAUGCGUAGAGAUUAGGAAGAACACCAGUGGCGAAGGCGAUUCGCUGGACUGUAACUGACGCUGAGGCUCGAAAGCGUGGGGAGCAAACAGGAUUAGAUACCCUAGUAGUC
This 440-nucleotide ribosomal RNA is filed under the name uncultured bacterium. RNAcentral describes it as "partial 16S ribosomal RNA". It matches the Rfam family "Bacterial small subunit ribosomal RNA", at positions 338 to 795 of the family's 1533-position model. The record is from RNAcentral.